GGAUAUAGCUCGAGAUGAGCUUGUUAAAAGGCCUGAUAAUAUAUCUGUAGAGAAACUGUAGGUUAGGUUCAAUUUCACCUUUGCUAAUAGUGGCUUGAUGUUUUCCUAUUCUAUUCUCUCUUUUUAAAGAUUCUUUAAGAGCUGGGGAGCAGCUUCAGAUCCAUUUUAAUGUAUGAUGCUGUGUAAGAGUACAGUCUCUUCUAGACCUUGCUUUGUUGACCACAGCUGCAGCAGCAGAUCCUUGUCAUGAGGAAUUGACAUGUUGUGUGGAAAGAUCUUCUUUGCUUAAUAGAUUGGGGACUCUUAGUGAUCUGGAAUAUGGGAUGAAAAAUUUACUUUCUACUCCUGAAGUUCAGAAGCCUGUUUCUGAUGCUAAUGAUCAGACAGAGCCAGUAAGUGUCACUGGCCUAGAAAUGUUCCCUCUUAGUUACAAGGUAUGUCAUGUUCUUGCAUUCCUUUAUCAUUUUGAAUCAUAGUAUCCUCUGGGGAUAUUCUCUAGUAAUUAAAUUUUGGUACAAGAAUAGGUGCAAUGGCCGUUAUCCCUUAUGAUUUCCAAAAAAGCCUUGACAAAGUAUCAGUUGAUUUUCCAAUUCCUGUUUCAUUGUAAACACAUCAACCGCCAACUUUGUGAAGCAUGGCAAGUCCAUCAAGGGGUUCGUGCUUUUAACAAAUUGGGAACAGCCAUCUCCCGCUCUUCAAUGCUUUACUGUAGCAUGCUUAAAUUUAUUAUUAGCC
This is a long non-coding RNA of Magnolia sinica, 735 nucleotides long. RefSeq lists it as uncharacterized. The transcript is spliced from 3 exons. NCBI's taxonomy places the organism in Eukaryota, Viridiplantae, Streptophyta, Magnoliopsida, Magnoliales, Magnoliaceae. The record is from RefSeq and is a predicted model, not a curated record.